CAAGGAAAACAAAACGAAGUUCAACCUCAUCUUUCACGAAACCAGACAUGACUUAAAGUAAUAAAAGGGUUUAAGGAGUGUUUUUCCUUGAACUUGCUGGGUUCAUUCCUCGAAAUACCUUUCUCAUUUUUCUGUAAUACGGAAACUAUUAUAUACAGGUUCAUGUUAUUUGCUAUUUCUCUCUUAGUUUUUAUGUCUCUCAGACCACAAAUAUUCUCAGAGUUUAGUAAAUUAAAUCUUCAAAAAAAUUUCUGACAUCUCUUCUUUUUCUUCUUCAGAGGAAAUUAUGAAUCGCGACAAAAGUAUAGACAAGCCAAUGAAACCACGAAGGCGUGAAAGUCAAAGAUCAAGACGCAGUGACAGUGGUGGUAAUUCUGGUGACCAUCAAAACCCAGUGCUAGGUCUGUGCCGAUUUGUUUUUGGGGUUAUCUUUUUGUCUUUGGUUUUGUUUGUUUUCUUUUAUUUCAUUUUAGGUAUAUGAAAAAUGAGAACUAUUGGUUUGAAAAAGAGUGGGACACAGAAGAAUAAACAACGUUUAUGCAGUAAAAUCACGGGACUCAGGUGGAUCAAAUUCCAUACACUUUCAAAUUUGAGAGGAAAAGAAGGACUCAAUUAGGGCACAGUGCUGCCAAUGAUGGUGUAAGGACCUUGAUCCACUGUAACUAUUACAAGUAGUACAAUAAUUUACUGGUAUAUUAAGUUUGUAUUUUGUUUACAGUCAAGGU
This 725-nucleotide long non-coding RNA is filed under the name Vigna radiata. RNAcentral describes it as "long non-coding RNA (VRAD_LNC007505)". The record is from RNAcentral. Lineage: Eukaryota; Viridiplantae; Streptophyta; Magnoliopsida; Fabales; Fabaceae.